Molecule: long non-coding RNA, 407 nt
Filed under: Nicotiana benthamiana
Lineage: Eukaryota; Viridiplantae; Streptophyta; Magnoliopsida; Solanales; Solanaceae
Description: long non-coding RNA (NBEN_LNC026849)
Source: RNAcentral
GUUGUUCAUCUCCAAUUUCAGAAUGCAUCUUUAGAUAGAUUAAUCUGCAGAAACAAAAAUAGCGUAAAUCAAGAGUCCCAAUCUUCGAACGAACUUUGAUACUAAUUUUUUUUUGAUAAUACCGUUUAAUCCUGAACUGAUUAAUUAGUAGCAGAAGACAAAUUUUAUCAAAAAACCAUAAUAAAUGAGCAUAUCAGGAAUACUUACUGACAUGUAUGUAAAAAGUCUAGAAAGAAUUAUGCAAAACAGAAGAAAGCUAACAUUCACCAAUCAAAAUUUGGUUUAGCAAUAGAAGAAGUGCAAAACAUAGAGAAAACUGCACCAAACAACUAACUAAAUUAGAGAGCUCGCAGCAGAUUCAAAUAGAAAAAAGAUUAAAAAACUAUUUGCAGGGGCCAAUAGGAGAA